GGCCUACGGGACGCAGCAGUGGGGAAUAUUGCACAAUGGGGGGAACCCUGACCCAGCAACGCCGCGUGAAGGAAGAAGGCUUUCGGGUUGUAAACUUCUUUUCUCAGGGACGAAGCAAGUGACGGUACCUGAGGAAUAAGCCACGGCUAACUACGUGCCAGCAGCCGCGGUAAUACGUAGGUGGCAAGCGUUAUCCGGAUUUACUGGGUGUAAAGGGCGUGUAGGCGGGAAAGCAAGUCAGAUGUGAAAACCAUGGGCUCAACCUGUGGCCUGCAUUUGAAACUGUUUUUCUUGAGUACUGGAGG
RNAcentral lists this ribosomal RNA (305 nucleotides) under uncultured bacterium. RNAcentral's name for it is "bacterial SSU rRNA". It matches the Rfam family "Bacterial small subunit ribosomal RNA", at positions 335 to 655 of the family's 1533-position model. The record is from RNAcentral.